This 1345-nucleotide ribosomal RNA is filed under the name uncultured marine archaeon. Its description in RNAcentral is "partial 16S ribosomal RNA". It matches the Rfam family "Archaeal small subunit ribosomal RNA". The record is from RNAcentral.
UUCCGGUUGAUCCUGCCAGAGGCGACCGCUAUUGGAGUUCGAUUAAGCCAUGCGAGUAGAAAGAAAUUAGAUUCUUUGCAUACUGCUCAGUAACACGUGGAUAACCUGCCCUACACUGGGGGAUAAUCUCGGGAAACUGAGCAUAAUACCCCAUAGACCACUACGCCUGGAACGGUGAGUGGUUGAAAGCUUCGGCGGUGUAGGAUGGGUCUGCGGCGUAUCAGGUUGUAGGGGGUGUAAUGGACCUCCUAGCCAUCGACGCGUACGGGUUGUGGGAGCAAUAGCCCGGAGACGGAUUCUGAGACACGAAUCCGGACCCUACGGGGUGCAGCAGGCGCGAAAACUUCACACUGCAGGAAACUGUGAUGAGGGAACUCCAAGUGACUGCACAAUGUGUAGCCUUUUCUUGAAUUUUAAUAGUUCUUGGAAUAAGGGCUGGGAAAGACCGGUGCCAGCCGCCGCGGUAAUACCGGCAGCUCGAGUGGUCGUCGCUUUUAUUGGGCCUAAAACGUCCGUAGCCUGUUUGGUAAAUCUGUGGGUAAAUCAAUCCGCUUAACGGAUUGAAUUCUGCAGAGACUGCCAGACUAGGGACCGGGAGAGGUAUGAGGUACUCUGGGGGUAGGGGUAAAAUCCUGUCAUCCUCAGAGGACCACCUGUUGCGAAGGCGUCAUACUGGAACGGAUCCGACGGUCAGGGACGAAGCCUAGGGGCACGAACCGGAUUAGAUACCCGGGUAGUCCUAGGUGUAAACGCUGUGGAUUUGGUGUGUGGGGUCCGCAAUGGGCCCCAUGUGCCGGAGUGAAGAUGUUAAAUCCACUGCCUGGGAAGUACGUACGCAAGUAUGAAACUUAAAGGAAUUGGCGGGGGAGCACCACAAGGGGUGAAGCCUGCGGUUCAAUUGGAGUCAACGCCAGAAAUCUUACCCGGAGAGACAGCAGAAUGAAGGUCAAGCUGAAGACUUUACCAGACAAGCUGAGAGGUGGUGCAUGGCCGUCGCCAGCUCGUGCCGUGAGAUGUCCUGUUAAGUCAGGUAACGAGCGAGAUCCCUGCCUCUAGUUGCCACCAUUACUCUCAGGAGUAGUGGGGCGAAUUAGCGGGACCGCCGCAGUUAAUGCGGAGGAAGGAAGGGGCCACGGCAGGUCAGUAUGCCCCGAAACUCUGGGGCCACACGCGGGCUGCAAUGGUAACGACAAUUGGUUUCGAAUCCGAAAGGAUGAGGUAAUCCUCAAACGUUACCACAGUUAUGACUGAGGGCUGCAACUCGCCCUCACGAAUAUGGAAUCCCUAGUAACUGCGUGUCAUUAUCGCGCGGUGAAUACGUCCCUGCUCCUUGCACACACCGCCC